UUGCCCUCCUCCCUUUCUUAUCUUAAUAUCAUAUUUGGUUGACUCUGCUAAGUCAACGGUGUAAAGAGAAGGUGGGGGAAGAUUGGCCCAACAUAUCUCACAUUCCACAUAUACAUAUCUCACAUUCCAGAUAUUUAUAUUUAUCAAACAUGAUGAGGUAUUAUUUGUUGAAACUUAAAUUUGAAAUUUCUUAUAAUUUUAUGCUUAAAAGUGUUUCUCUAUUUCAUCGUAAUCAUUGGUUAUGUCCUGUUAUCAUGCAUCUUUUUUUUUUGG
This 273-nucleotide unclassified non-coding RNA is filed under the name Hevea brasiliensis (rubber tree). Lineage: Eukaryota; Viridiplantae; Streptophyta; Magnoliopsida; Malpighiales; Euphorbiaceae. The record is from RNAcentral.